This 71-nucleotide transfer RNA is filed under the name Patescibacteria group bacterium. RNAcentral describes it as "tRNA-Pro". It matches the Rfam family "tRNA". Rfam says of the family: Transfer RNA (tRNA) molecules are approximately 80 nucleotides in length. Their secondary structure includes four short double-helical elements and three loops (D, anti-codon, and T loops). The record is from RNAcentral.
CGGGGAGUAGUAUAUCGGUCGUACGCACGCUUCGGGUGCGUGUAGGCCGGGUUCGAUUCCCGGCUCCCCGA